GCCGGGCGUGAGGGCUCACACCUGUAAUCCCAGCAUUUUGGGAGGCCGAGGCGGGAGGAUCACCUGAGGUCAGGAGUUCGAGACCAGCCUGGCCAACAUGGUGAAACCCCGUCUCUG
Molecule: unclassified non-coding RNA, 117 nt
Organism: Pongo abelii (Sumatran orangutan)
Lineage: Eukaryota; Metazoa; Chordata; Mammalia; Primates; Hominidae
Rfam family: Metazoan signal recognition particle RNA
About the family: The signal recognition particle (SRP) is a universally conserved ribonucleoprotein. It is involved in the co-translational targeting of proteins to membranes. The eukaryotic SRP consists of a 300-nucleotide 7S RNA and six proteins: SRPs 72, 68, 54, 19, 14, and 9.
Source: Ensembl